AGCGCAGGCCGUGGGCUAAGCGUGUCGUGAAAUUCCGUCGCUCAACGGCGGACGUGCGGCGCGAACUGGUCCACUUGAGUACGCGGGACGUUGGCGGAAUUCGUGGUGUAGCGGUGAAAUGCUUAGAUAUCACGAAGAACUCCGAUUGCGAAGGCAGCUGACGGUAGCGCAACUGACGCUGAGGCUCGAAAGUGCGGGUAUCGAACAGGAUUAGAUACCCUGGUAGUCCGCACGGUAAACGAUGGAUGCCCGCUAUUCGCCCACCUGGGCGAGUGGCCAAGCGAAAGCGUUAAGCAUCCCACCUGGGGAGUACGCCGGCAACGGUGAAACUCAAAGGAAUUGACGGGGGCCCGCACAAGCGGAGGAACAUGUGGUUUAAUUCGAUGAUACGCGAGGAACCUUACCCGGGCUUGAAUUGCAGAGGAAGGAUUUGGAGACAAUGACGCCCUUCGGGGCCUCUGUGAAGGUGCUGCAUGGUUGUCGUCAGCUCGUGCCGUGAGGUGUCGGCUUAAGUGCCAUAACGAGCGCAACCCCCAUCUCCAGUUGCCACCGGGUCGUGCCGGGCACUCUGGAGGGACUGCCAGCGCAAGCUGCGAGGAAGGCGGGGAUGACGUCAAAUCAGCACGGCCCUUACGUCCGGGGCGACACACGUGUUACAAUGGCGGAGAACAGAGGGGAGCCACGUGGCGACACGGAGCCGAUCCCUAAAAUCCGUCUCAGUUCGGAUUGGAGCCUGCAACCCGACUCCAUGAAGCUGGAUUCGCUA
This 766-nucleotide ribosomal RNA is filed under the name uncultured Bacteroidota bacterium. Its description in RNAcentral is "bacterial SSU rRNA". It matches the Rfam family "Bacterial small subunit ribosomal RNA", at positions 568 to 1337 of the family's 1533-position model. The record is from RNAcentral. Lineage: Bacteria; Pseudomonadati; Bacteroidota.